GCUGGAUGUAGUAGCAUACACCUGUAAUCCCAGAUACUCAGGAGGCUGAGGCAGGAGGAUUGCAGGUUCAAGGCCAGCUUCAGCAUCUU
This 89-nucleotide small RNA is filed under the name Marmota monax (woodchuck). The record is from RNAcentral. Lineage: Eukaryota; Metazoa; Chordata; Mammalia; Rodentia; Sciuridae.